Triticum urartu is the source of this 71-nucleotide non-coding RNA. NCBI's taxonomy places the organism in Eukaryota, Viridiplantae, Streptophyta, Magnoliopsida, Poales, Poaceae. The record is from Rfam.
GUACUUUAGUGUAAAGGUAGCACAGCAGACUCAUGUCCUGCUAGACCAGUGUUCGAAUCCUGGAAUGUACU